UGGGGAAUCUUGCACAAUGGGCGAAAGCCUGAUGCAGCGACGCCGCGUGCGGGAUGAAGGCCUUCGGGUUGUAAACCGCUUUCAGCAGGGACGAGGCCGCAAGGUGACGGUAUCUGCAGAAGAAGCCUCGGCUAACUCCGUGCCAGCAGCCGCGGUAAUACGUAGGGGGCAAGCGUUAUCCGGAAUCAUUGGGCGUAAAGCGCGCGUAGGCGGUUUGUUAGGUCAGGAGUUAAAUCUGGGGGCUCAACCCCUUUCCGUGCCUGAUACCGGCAGGCUUGAGUCUGGUAGGGGAAGGAGGAAUUCCAAGUGUAGCGGUGAAAUGCGCGUAUAUUUGGAAGAACACCGGUGGCGAAGGCGGGCUUCUGUGCCACGACUGACGCGGAGGGGCGAAAGCUAGGGGAGCGAACAGG
Molecule: ribosomal RNA, 410 nt
Filed under: Verrucomicrobiota bacterium
Lineage: Bacteria; Pseudomonadati; Verrucomicrobiota
Description: Verrucomicrobia bacterium partial 16S ribosomal RNA
Rfam family: Bacterial small subunit ribosomal RNA
Source: RNAcentral